Mirounga angustirostris (Northern elephant seal) is the source of this 1203-nucleotide long non-coding RNA. RefSeq lists it as uncharacterized. The transcript is spliced from 3 exons. Lineage: Eukaryota; Metazoa; Chordata; Mammalia; Carnivora; Phocidae. The record is from RefSeq and is a predicted model, not a curated record.
GUGCCACACACUAGAUUUGGGGCAUAUUUUGGUCUGUUAGAAGAAAGUGCCUCCCAAAAUUUUAAAGAAAGAAAAACUUAUAUAUGUACAAAAAUAAGGGUUAAUACGAUGAAGGGUUGGAAUAUGACUGUAAAGAUGAAAAUUAUAAAAGAUUUUAUAAAAGGAAUUGAUAAGAUAAGAAGUUGGUUGAAAAAAGAAAGAAGAGGAUUUAAAAGAAAGGGAGAGAAUGUGAUCAGGCAGGAGACUAGAACAAAGCCAUACACUAGAGAUUUAGGGUAUAUUUUGAUCUGUUAGAAGAAACUGUAUCCCAAAAUUUUAAAAAGAGAACAACUUAUAUAUAUAUAUACCAAAAAUAAGGGUAACUACUAUGAAGGGAUAGAAUAUCACUCUAAAAAUGAAAAAUAAAAAAUAUUUUUUUAAAAAAGGGAUUAAUAAGAUGUUGGUUGAAAAAGGGAAAAAGAAAAAUUAAAAAAAAAAAAGACAGUUAAAAAUUAACUUUGAAAGACUACAGAAUCAUGGUAAAAAAGCCAUGGAUUCUAUGUGCAGUAUUCCCCUAGCGCUGGAGUUCUGCCGUUCUCAUUGAUCGGUAAACUUGGUCUUGGCUGGCUGUUCUCGCUGAUCUCUGGGGGAGGGGCCUGUUGCCGUGGUUUCCAAAUGUCUCUGCCGGAGGCGGAAUUGCCCCGCCCUUGCCCCCUCCCGGCUAAGUAAUCUGCUUGGGUUUGCUCUCCGGGGCUUUUGUUCUCUGCGAGCUUUCCGUACAGCUUUGGAGGCGGAGAGUGAAAAUGGUGGCCUCCCAAACUCCGCCCUGGAGGAGCCGAGAACUCGGGGCCCCGCUUCUCAGUGAGCCCCAGAGAAAAGCAGUCAGUCACUCCCGUCUCCCCGGUCUCUGGCCGCACUCCGUGCUCACCCGGCCUGUGACCAAGCAUUUCUAUCUCUGGCACCCGACCCCGUGUGGAGUCUCCAGACCCAGCAGAUCCCUGCGGUGCGCUCCCGCGUUGCUUCUCCUGGGGGAAAAAGGCUUCCUUGUUCUCUGAAGAAAGUGAAGGAGGCUUCAGUGAACCCCUGGGACAUGACUGUCCAGGUGUAUUGUUGAUCUCUGCAGGUCAAGAAUUUACUUAUCUACUGGCUCCCAGUUUGUACCCUUAAACAAUGUAUCCCCAAUUCCUCCACCCCUCAGUCUCUGGUAACCAUCAUGCUGCACUC